RNAcentral lists this ribosomal RNA (263 nucleotides) under uncultured bacterium. Its description in RNAcentral is "partial 16S ribosomal RNA". It matches the Rfam family "Bacterial small subunit ribosomal RNA", at positions 90 to 354 of the family's 1533-position model. The record is from RNAcentral.
ACUUAGUGGCGGACGGGUGAGUAACGCGUGGGUAACCUGGCCCAUACAGGGGGAUAACACUUAGAAAUAGGUGCUAAUACCGCAUAACAACAGAAAGCGCAUGCUUUUUGUUUGAAAACCAAGGUGGUAUGGGAUGGACCCGCGUCUGAUUAGCUGGUUGGCGGGGUAAAGGCCCACCAAGGCAACGAUCAGUAGCCGGCCUGAGAGGGUGGACGGCCACAUUGGGACUGAGACACGGCCCAGACUCCUACGGAAGGCAGCAG